UGUAUGAUGAUGAAAAAUUUCUUCACUUUGACCUGACAUGCUUGUUUGAAGAAAUUUAAAUAUCUGACA
Pelusios castaneus (West African mud turtle) is the source of this 69-nucleotide small nucleolar RNA. The record is from Ensembl. NCBI's taxonomy places the organism in Eukaryota, Metazoa, Chordata, Testudines, Pelomedusidae.